This is a long non-coding RNA of Lytechinus variegatus (green sea urchin), 748 nucleotides long. RefSeq lists it as uncharacterized. The transcript is spliced from 3 exons. Lineage: Eukaryota; Metazoa; Echinodermata; Echinoidea; Temnopleuroida; Toxopneustidae. The record is from RefSeq and is a predicted model, not a curated record.
UUGCAUGAUAAUUUGCAUGUGCAUCAUGCUAAGCCAAGUGAUGGUCGAGGCAAAAAGCGUUCACGUAUAUGUCAACGACGUUGAAAUGGUGGACAGAGAAAACGAUGUUCGAAACGAUGACGUGCAUGGCGUAUUGGCCCGUAACAAACGAUCAAGCAGUUCAUCAAGCUCUUCUUCAGGUUCUUCAGAGUCUGAGGAAACCACAACAGCAACAACAACAACAGCAGCAACAGCAGUAUAGUACCACCAACGUAAAUAUGAAAAAGGAUCUUAUUGGCCCGCAGACCUUAUUGACCGCAAGGAACAUCGUAGUCGGAACACCAUUGACGUUAUCAUCCAAGACACGAACUUGAUUACCAUCAGUGUGACUUAAAUGCAUCAUCUAACAUCGGUAGCUUAUCAUGCGUAUGAAUAUGAAAUUAAAUAACUUCAUCUAUAUAAGUCUAUACUUUAUUAUCUUUAAUCCCCUUACUUAAUUAUCAUUAUAAUAGUUUAUCGGAAGAUUGCAUACGUUUUUGUAUCGUUUUGUUCGAAAGUGCUUUUAGUGGUCAAUACUUAUACAGUUUUCCUGCCUGUAGUUGAUAUUAUUCAUGUAUUCGAUAAUUGCGCCAGAGUAAUAAAGUUAUGUUAAAUCGCGGGUGGGGGGUGGGUAUUUCACUUAACUGCAAUUUAGCAAAUACUCUAAACAUGGAAAUCAAAUCACCAAGGUUGUACAACUCCUUGUACUUGAGAAGAUUAAAAAUGCAUA